This 429-nucleotide ribosomal RNA is filed under the name Gemmatimonadota bacterium. Its description in RNAcentral is "Gemmatimonadetes bacterium partial 16S ribosomal RNA". It matches the Rfam family "Bacterial small subunit ribosomal RNA", at positions 355 to 776 of the family's 1533-position model. Lineage: Bacteria; Pseudomonadati; Gemmatimonadota. The record is from RNAcentral.
UAGGGAAUCUUCGGCAAUGGACGAAAGUCUGACCGAGCAACGCCGCGUGAGUGAAGAAGGUUUUCGGAUCGUAAAACUCUGUUGUUAGAGAAGAACAAGGACGUUAGUAACUGAACGUCCCCUGACGGUAUCUAACCAGAAAGCCACGGCUAACUACGUACCAGCAGCCGCGGUAAUACGUAGGUGGCAAGCGUUGUCCGGAUUUAUUGGGCGUAAAGCGAGCGCAGGCGGUUUCUUAAGUCUGAUGUGAAAGCCCCCGGCUCAACCGGGGAGGGUCAUUGGAAACUGGGAGACUUGAGUGCAGAAGAGGAGAGUGGAAUUCCAUGUGUAGCGGUGAAAUGCGUAGAUAUAUGGAGGAACACCAGUGGCGAAGGCGGCUCUCUGGUCUGUAACUGACGCUGAGGCUCGAAAGCGUGGGGAGCAAACAGG